UACGUAGGGGGCGAGCGUUGUCCGGAAUCAUUGGGCGUAAAGAGCGUGUAGGCGGACUGGAAGGUCUGGUGUGAAAGCCCGGGGCUCAACCCCGGAGGGUCACUGGAAACCAACAGUCUUGAGUCCGGAAGAGGAGAGUGGAAUUCCUGGUGUAGCGGUGGAAUGCGCGGAUAUCAGGAGGAACACCAAUGGCGAAGGCAGCUCUCUGGUACGUGACUGACGCUGAGACGCGAAAGCGUGGGUAGCAAACAGG
RNAcentral lists this ribosomal RNA (253 nucleotides) under uncultured bacterium. RNAcentral's name for it is "partial 16S ribosomal RNA". It matches the Rfam family "Bacterial small subunit ribosomal RNA", at positions 524 to 776 of the family's 1533-position model. The record is from RNAcentral.